UCGCCAAACCGUAGCUUGCUUGCAACGGAUUUUGCAAGAGAUCCGGCCGUAACUAUUAGCGACAACAUGGCUACAGAGUGGUCUAUUGCUCAUUAGCAACAACCUUAGCGAAAGAUAUGGCGUCACUAAAUAGCUAUAGAAUAUACCUACAGAUUUUUCUUAGCAAAGUCGUAACAAAUGUAGCAAAGGAUCUGGCUACAAAUGUUUUGUAUCUAAAAUGUUGGAUCAAAUUUGCAACAACAACGUUUUUGACUAAUGUUGAAGCAAAAGAAUGAUUUGUUUAGAAAGUCACUAAACUUAUUAUAAAAAGACAUCUUAAAUUCCACAAACAUUCAUUAUAGAAAGUCAUUUACCCUAACCAAACCUAACUAAUAAUUAGAAAAGGAAACCUAGACUAAACCAAGAGUAAACCAAAAGCCUAAGCCUAAUCCUCUUUGCCGUCAAUGCUUCCUAUCCACUGUUAGUCUCAGCAUGCCUCCUCCACCUUCAAGCUCAACUGGCCUUUUCCGCCAUCAAUCUUGCCACACCGGAUCUUCUUCUUAGGCGGCUGGCCACACCAGAGAAAUUGUCGUUGUCGAUUGAGGAGAAGCUGUCAAUCUUUUCGCACUGAAGCUUCUUCUCACAGUCACCACACCGUAGAAGCUGUCCACUGUCGUCGUCGUUGUCCGCAUCGAAGCUCGUGAGAGAUUGUGACUGCCGUCGUCGUUGUUGCCAUCUUAGUUGUUGUGGUUGUUGUCUGUGAAAACAAAAGAAGAAAAAAAGAUUAUCAGUGAGAGAUCGAGAGAUUGAGAGAAGUUGAGUAAAUAAAGGAAAAUAAAUAAAAGUAAAAUGUUCUUGUCCUUUAGAUCAGAUAUCAAUGGUUGAGGUUAGAAAAUGGUUAUCCUCGCCACUAUUUUUCAACCAAUGAGAGAUAGGAUAGGUAAAAUGAGAAGGAAGAGAUAUGGUCCACUGGAUUGAGCUUAAUUAAUGGACACAAAUUAAUCCUUGUAUAAAUGGAUCAGCCAAUGAGAUUUUUUAUUAAAAUUUUAUUGUUUCUCUGUAAUAUCAGCUUUAUAAAAUGAAAGUUAAUUUAUAGUUUUAUC
RNAcentral lists this long non-coding RNA (1082 nucleotides) under Brassica napus (rape). RNAcentral describes it as "long non-coding RNA (BNAP_LNC019531)". Lineage: Eukaryota; Viridiplantae; Streptophyta; Magnoliopsida; Brassicales; Brassicaceae. The record is from RNAcentral.